Molecule: ribosomal RNA, 461 nt
Filed under: uncultured bacterium
Lineage: Bacteria
Description: bacterial SSU rRNA
Rfam family: Bacterial small subunit ribosomal RNA
Source: RNAcentral
UGGGGAAUCUUGCGCAAUGGGCGAAAGCCUGACGCAGCGACGCCGCGUGAGGGAAGAAGGCCUUCGGGUUGUAAACCUCUUUCAGCAGGGACGAAGCUACUCGGGUUAACAGCCCAGAGGGUGACGGUACCUGUAGAAGAAGCCCCGGCUAACUACGUGCCAGCAGCCGCGGUAAUACGUAGGGGGCAAGCGUUGUCCGGAUUUACUGGGCGUAAAGAGCGUGUAGGCGGCCAAGCAGGUCUGUUGUGAAAACUGGAGGCUCAACCUCCAGACGUCGACAGAAACCGCUUGGCUAGAGUCCGGAAGAGGAGAGUGGAAUUCCUGGUGUAGCGGUGAAAUGCGCAGAUAUCAGGAAGAACACCAAUGGCGAAGGCAGCUCUCUGGGACGGUACUGACGCUGAGACGCGAAAGCGUGGGGAGCGAACAGGAUUAGAUACCCUGGUAGUCCACGCCGUAAACGA